AGCCCUUUGGGGCUUCGACUGAUUUCAUUCGUUUCCCACAUUUCGACCUUAAAACAUCUAAAUUUGUUGUUCAGUUUCAAAUUAUUUCUUUGUUCGGUUUUCUAACGAAUCAAUCAUGUGUUGCGGACCUUGUGGACCUUGCUGCGGACCCUGCGGACCUUGCUGUGGACCCUGUGGUCCUUGCUGCGGACCUUGUGGGCCUUGCUGCGGACCGUGUGGUCCUUGCUGCGGACCCUGCCUAGGACCAAACACCUGCGGUCCUUGCUUUGCGUGCGGACCCUGUGGUGGCUGCUUCCCUUGUUAGAAGCAUUUAAAAUUCUUCCACUUGGAAGAAAUCGUAAAAUCAUGUAAAAUUAAGAAGGACCUAUAGGCUGUAAAAAGCGGCACAAUGGCAUCCUUCAAAGUCAUCUAAAUCCAUCAUGCAUAUAUACGUAAACCGUACAAAUGAAAUUGAAGCAAGUCAGCAAUAAAAAAAAUUAGAUUGGGA
RNAcentral lists this small RNA (487 nucleotides) under Drosophila ananassae. Its description in RNAcentral is "GF26527". Lineage: Eukaryota; Metazoa; Arthropoda; Insecta; Diptera; Drosophilidae. The record is from RNAcentral.